Molecule: ribosomal RNA, 414 nt
Filed under: uncultured Oceanicola sp.
Lineage: Bacteria; Pseudomonadati; Pseudomonadota; Alphaproteobacteria; Rhodobacterales; Roseobacteraceae
Description: bacterial SSU rRNA
Rfam family: Bacterial small subunit ribosomal RNA
Source: RNAcentral
CCUAACACAUGCAAGUCGAGCGAGACCUUCGGGUCUAGCGGCGGACGGGUUAGUAACGCGUGGGAAUGUACCCUUCACUCGGAAUAGCCACUGGAAACGGUGAGUAAUACCGCAUACGCCCCUUCGGGGGAAAGAUUUAUCGGUGAAGGAUCAGCCCGCGUCUGAUUAGAUAGUUAGUGGGGUAACGGCCUACCAAGUCGACGAUCAGUAGCUGGUUUUAGAGGAUGAUCAGCAACACUGGGACUGAGACACGGCCCAGACUCCUACGGGAGGCAGCAGUGGGGAAUCUUAGACAAUGGGCGCAAGCCUGAUCUAGCCAUGCCGCGUGUGUGAUGAAGGCCCUAGGGUCGUAAAGCUCUUUCGCCAGGGAUGAUAAUGACAGUACCUGGUAAAGAAACCCCGGCUAACUCCGUG